GGGGUUGUAGCUCAAUGGCAGAGUUCUUGCCUAGUUAUGCACCACAGGGUUCUGGGUUCAAUCCCAGCAAUGCCU
Molecule: transfer RNA, 75 nt
Filed under: Ictidomys tridecemlineatus (thirteen-lined ground squirrel)
Lineage: Eukaryota; Metazoa; Chordata; Mammalia; Rodentia; Sciuridae
Description: Spermophilus tridecemlineatus (thirteen-lined ground squirrel) tRNA
Rfam family: tRNA
About the family: Transfer RNA (tRNA) molecules are approximately 80 nucleotides in length. Their secondary structure includes four short double-helical elements and three loops (D, anti-codon, and T loops).
Source: Rfam by way of RNAcentral